This 287-nucleotide long non-coding RNA is filed under the name Vigna radiata. RNAcentral describes it as "long non-coding RNA (VRAD_LNC016673)". The record is from RNAcentral. Lineage: Eukaryota; Viridiplantae; Streptophyta; Magnoliopsida; Fabales; Fabaceae.
CGCACCAUGCAUCACCACCAUCCACAAGGGAUCCAUGGUUUCAUUGGAAGGCAGUUCAAAUGAUACAUCAGUGAAAUAAUCCAACGAAUAAAAGCCCAGUUAUCAUCCUGGCACCAAAGCACAGUUAUCAUCCUGGCACCAAAAGCCCAGUUAUCAUCCUGACACCAAAAGCCCAGUUAUCAUCCUGACACAAAAGCCCAGUUAUCAUCCUGGCACCAAAGCCCAGUUAUCAUCCUGGCACCAAAGCCCAGUUAUCAUCCUGGCACCAAAGCCCAGUUAUCAUCCUG